CAAUUUUGUUUUUAUAUAAGGGGGCGUCCAUAAAUUACGUGAGGUGUUUUUUUAAAUUUUCUGUCCCUCCCUCUCCCCUUGGUGAGAUGUCGUGAGGUUUUAGUCAACCCCCUCCCCCGUCCCCCAAUCUCACGUGAGAUUUUUCAGAAUGUGGGUUUAUUACG
This is a long non-coding RNA of Chrysoperla carnea, 164 nucleotides long. RefSeq lists it as uncharacterized. The transcript has 3 exons. Lineage: Eukaryota; Metazoa; Arthropoda; Insecta; Neuroptera; Chrysopidae. The record is from RefSeq and is a predicted model, not a curated record.